Molecule: ribosomal RNA, 1240 nt
Filed under: Triticum aestivum (bread wheat)
Lineage: Eukaryota; Viridiplantae; Streptophyta; Magnoliopsida; Poales; Poaceae
Description: bacterial SSU rRNA
Rfam family: Bacterial small subunit ribosomal RNA (bases 221-1240)
Source: RNAcentral
UUACUGCUUUAUCUCCCGGAAAGCGCUCUUAGUUCAGUUCAGUAGAACGUGUGUCUCCAAAACCCAAUGUCGUAGGUUCAAAUCCUACAGAGCGUGAUUCUCAAUAUAUCACCUCAAUGAGAGCUCACGGAUAUGUCUGACCCCCCAUCAUGGUGAACCUCUCCUUGUGAUCGGGAUGAGGUAGAUGCCUCCCAGCNNNNNNNNNNUGAAACACUCCGCCUGGGGAGUACGGUCGCAAGACCGAAACUCAAAGGAAUUGACGGGGGCCUGCACAAGCGGUGGAGCAUGUGGUUUAAUUCGAUACAACGCGCAAAACCUUACCAGCCCUUGACAUAUGAACAACAAAACAUGUCCUUAACAGGAUGGUACUGACUUUCAUACAGGUGCUGCAUGGCUGUCGUCAGCUCGUGUCGUGAGAUGUUUGGUCAAGUCCUAUAACGAGCGAAACCCUCGUUUUGUGUUGCUGAGACAUGCGCCUAAGGAGAAAUUGCCACCGAGUGACGUGCCAGCGCUACUACUUGAUUGAGUGCCAGCACGCAGCUGUGCUUUCAGCAAGAAUUUCACCAUUGGGAGCCGGUGCCUUUUGAAGCACUUUCACAUGUGAACCGAAGUCGUCUUGCCCAAGACCCACGGAGACCUACCUAUAGUGACGUCAAAGUACCAGUGAGCAUGGAGGUUUGGUUGAAAUUGGUUACGACGACGUCGAGUUGGCGGCGGAGGAAGACUCGGCAUGAAGGCCAGAAAAUGGUGUGGAACGUAGUGGUAAUAGUACGCGCCCCGCUCCGAAACAAAGAAAAAGGUGCGUGCCGCACUCACGAGGGACUGCCAGUGAGAUACUAGAGGAAGGUGGGGAUGACGUCAAGUCCACAUGGCCCUUAUGGGCUGGGCCACACACGUGCUACAAUGGCAAUGACAAUGGGAAGCAAGGCUGUAAGGCGGAGCGAAUCCGGAAAGAUUGCCUCAGUUCAGAUUGUUCUCUGCAACUCGGGAACAUGAAGUUGAAAUCGCUAGUAAUCGCGGAUCAGCAUGCCGCGGUGAAUAUGUACCCAGGCCCUGUACACACCGCCCGUCACACCCUGGGAAUUGGUUUCGCCCGAAGCAUCGGACCAAUGAUCACCCAUGACUUCUGUGUACCACUAGUGCCACAAAGGCCUUUGGUGGUCUUAUUGGCGCAUACCACGGUGGGGUCUUCGACUGGGGUGAAGUCAUAACAAGGUAGCCGUAGGGGAACCUGUGGCUG